UGUGGUUGGUUGUGGUGCGUUCAAGAUUCCUCGCCUAAGAUGAGGUUCCUGAGCUUCCAGUAGGCGACUGACUGCCCAAGAGACCCAGGGCUCCGCAAGGAGACGGCGCAGGUGUCGGGGCUCCCCGCAGGCCGGGAAAAAGUGUCCGAACGCCUCGUGGACUGCAGCGGGGGAAAUGUCCCUUAAAAGUGCGACGAAGUGGGGAAGAAGCCAACAAUAUGGAAGUACCAAUACAAGGUCAAAUCAUUCCUGGAUUCAUCUGGAGUUGCUUAAAAGUUAAAUCAUUGGAAUUUUUGAUGAUACCUUUUCUAUAUGGAUUACAAUUUGAUCGCUGGGAAUUCUCCACCUUAAAGAAGUACCCUCAGGUGACUACAGAUGUGUUAACACCCAGCAUGUUCCGGUAGGAGACUUUCUGGAUGGGGAAGAUUUCCAGGAAUUGGCAACAAGCUCAUUUCACUGGUGGGUUUGCUGAAGCAUUAUCACAAGACAGUCAGAAUGACUGAUGAGUGCUCUUCAGGUGUGAAUCAUGGCAAUACAGUGAAAGACAGUGAUUUACUGCUUUUGAGGGCGUGCAUGUAUAUGAUUAACGGAUGGAAGUGCAGGACUCCAAGAUUUACUUCCUUCCCUUUCCAGCAGAAUUACCUGAGACGAGUAAAAUCUACUGGUGGAGUCACUCCAUUAUUCUUAUCUGUGGAGAUCUAGAUCUUGAUUUGAAAGUUUCUGAGAAAAUCUUCAGCUCAGACUUGAGGGUCAACUUUACCAGCUGAAGGAUCUGCAUUUACUGCUCAACCACAUCUAAUUUGAUGUCCUCUGCAGAUUUAAAAUGUGUGCCUUCUUUUCCGUCACCAAGUCAUCCCUGGGUUACUACUGAACAUCCUUCUCAAUUCCCCCCGACCCAUGGAUGGCUGUUCUCCAUUGUCUGUUUCACCAGAUGUCCUCAAAACAAACAGACAGAAGAAGGAAGUGGCUAAUGGUUCGAUGCCUUCUCCAUCCGUCAGUGAGGGUGUGGAGAGCCUGCAGGCGUGUGCCUCCCUCUGUAACUUGCUAUUCCUUGUGUAAUGUCAAGUGGAAGUGUGAAGCACCACAAACUGCUCUGAGCAGAGCCCACUUCCCUUCACCCACGGAGAGCGUGAAGCAGUUACACCAACAUCAAUCAAGGAAAACCCACAGGCUGAGCUCACACGGUUGAAGCAGGAAGUUGAAGAUUUGUCCAGGAGCAGAUAGCUGAAGAGAGAGAGAGAGAAGAGAGAACGGCUUACAGCUCAGGUCCUCUCUCCAUGCUUAGGAACCACUACAAAUGCUACUGCCUUGAGUCUCAUUUUGUUUCCCUCUGGAAACCACAUGUGUACCUUGUUUGCAACAGUAUGGGCUCACAGGCAGAAGGAAUUUUCCUUGUCUUGGAUGAGACUUUUGACUUGGACUUUUGGGUUAAGUUCUGGAGACCAGAAGGCCAAAAUCAAAAGUAUGGGCAGGCUUGAUUUCUUUAGAAGACUCCAGCGGAGAACUGUGUCUCCUUGCUUCUGAUUCUACAUCUCCAUCCAUGGGCCACUGUUUCAGCAACCUCAGCCAGUGCAACACAACCUCAGCCAAGAAGAGUAUGCAGAGAAAGGAGUCCCCUACCUGCCACAAAACUGUUGUCUGAAAACUGUCUCAUAUUGUCUCAAGUUGUCAUUCAUUGUGAAUUAGACCUGUUUAACAUGUAAUCUGCAACAUGCUUCACUGUCUAAUUUUCCAGAGCCCCUCAUAUAAGGAACUGUAUUAUUGGUAUAAUCAUCAUGGUGAAGAAGUUGGUAUGUGGGGGAGAGAUGACAGAAACAGAGAGUAAGUCAGAGCUGGCUGCCUGACAGAUAAAAAGGAAAUGACCAAAAAAAAAAAAAAAGACACAGAAGAAUACUUUGUUGUCCACACAGAAAAGGGAAGUGUAGGUAAGACAGCAGUAGACUAAGAUUCUUAAGACUCAAGUUCUAGUCUUAUUUAUUAGCUAUGGGAGGCCUUGAGGGAGUUCUAGAAUUAAGUGAUCUCUCUUUAUAAAAUAGGAACAGUAAUAACUUCCUGGCUAACUCCCUGGCUGUCUCACAAUGCUGUAGUAGUAAGAAAUAAUUUUAUAAUUAAAGACUAUUUUAGGGCUGAUUACAUUUUUGGGCAGUGGCUCAUACAUGUAAUUUCAACAUUUUGGGAGGCCAAGGUGGGCGGAUUGCUUGAGCCCAGGAAUUCAAGACCAGGCUGGGCAACACAGACCUUGUCACUACAAAAGAAAAAAACAUUAGCUAGGCGUGGUGAUGUAUGCCUGUGGUCCCAGCUACUCAGGAAGCUGAGACAGGAGGAUCACCUGAGCCUGGGAGGUCGAGGCUACAGUGAGCCAUGAUCACACUACUGCACUCCAGCCUGGGAAACAGAGUGAGACUCUGUCUCAAAAAAAAAAAAAAAGGAAUAUUUUACACUUCAAGGUUCUAUACAAAUGUAAAAUAUCAUUCUAUUACUUAUUUAUAAUGCUGAUUAUUCUUUAAAUGACUUUAAAAUGUUAAUCUCUGCUUGAGCCUACGGAGAAGUAUGUAACAAAUUUGUGAAGGAUUGGCAUUAAACAUAGUCAAAAUAAAACAUAGAAAUUAUGG
Long non-coding RNA from Homo sapiens (human), 2612 nucleotides. Ensembl annotates it as cancer susceptibility 15. Its record names the gene CASC15. NCBI's taxonomy places the organism in Eukaryota, Metazoa, Chordata, Mammalia, Primates, Hominidae. The record is from Ensembl.